Molecule: long non-coding RNA, 573 nt
Organism: Columba livia (rock pigeon)
Lineage: Eukaryota; Metazoa; Chordata; Aves; Columbiformes; Columbidae
Exons: 2
Source: RefSeq, a predicted model, not a curated record
GUAUCAAUGGAAGAAGUUUGGAAUGCAUUUAUUUGUCUUUGUAAACAUCUAUAUGCAUAUUUUCUGAAAUUUCUUUAUACUUGAUGAAAGUUGUUGAAUUUUAUUUAUCACCAGACGUGGAAUUUCAGAGGCUGCAGUAAUCCUGCUCAGAGGCAGUGCAAACCUGUUGAAACCACCUUCCCACUGUCUUCACAUAGUAGAGUCCUGCCUGUUUCUACAUCACCAGCAAUGAUGUUGGCUUUUGAAACUGCCUGCUUGGCUGGGAGUCAGCUGAGCAUUUUUUUGCCUGCAGACUCUGCCUCCCCAGUUGCAGCCUUUGCCAGCUGAAAGCUGCUGUACCAGUGCUCCACCUCUAAACCAUCUGGAAAAGAGAGCUCUUUCACAACCUCACCUCCACUGAUACCAGCAGUUCAAUGGUUGUCACCCAAGAUAAGAACAUUUCUGGAUUUGAAUUCUCAAUAAUGAGCCAUUGAAGACAUACCCAUUCCAAGAAGAAGGAUGAGUUGUCUGGAAAACAGAAGAAAAAAUACAAAAUGUCCUGCAAUAAUUAAACUUUCACUUUGCUGCAGAAAA